Dipodomys ordii (Ord's kangaroo rat) is the source of this 132-nucleotide small nucleolar RNA. NCBI's taxonomy places the organism in Eukaryota, Metazoa, Chordata, Mammalia, Rodentia, Heteromyidae. The record is from Ensembl.
AACACUCAUCAACCUAAGAGUCAUAGUUUCGCUAGCAGUGCUUUAAGCAGAAGUACACACAACAAAUGGAUCUCAUUGCUUUCUAAGGGUUGUGACUGUGCCCCUUAAAGUGAAUUUUGAGAAUCUCGGAGC